RNAcentral lists this ribosomal RNA (162 nucleotides) under bacterium enrichment culture. RNAcentral's name for it is "partial 16S ribosomal RNA". It matches the Rfam family "Bacterial small subunit ribosomal RNA", at positions 355 to 507 of the family's 1533-position model. The record is from RNAcentral.
UGGGGAAUAUUGCACAAUGGGGGCAAACCCUGAUGCAGCCAUGCCGCGUGUGUGAAGAAGGCCUUCGGGUUGUAAAGCACUUUCAGCGAGGAGGAAAGGUUGAUGCCUAAUACGUAUCAACUGUGACGUUACAUCGCAGAAGAAGCACCGGCUAACUCCGUG